RNAcentral lists this non-coding RNA (186 nucleotides) under Candidatus Thiodictyon syntrophicum str. Cad16. Its description in RNAcentral is "6S RNA". It matches the Rfam family "6S / SsrS RNA". Rfam says of the family: E. coli 6S RNA was the first non coding RNA to be sequenced, but its function was unknown until recently. It consists of 184 nucleotides that fold into an extended hairpin structure with a large single-stranded internal bulge. RNAcentral also lists the same sequence under 1 other name. The record is from RNAcentral. Lineage: Bacteria; Pseudomonadati; Pseudomonadota; Gammaproteobacteria; Chromatiales; Chromatiaceae.
CACCCCCUGUAGUGUUCGACCGCUGGCUGGGUAUUUUCUUGAGCCUAUUUUGUACCCUGGGGACAUGACCACGAGGCCGUUGCGCAAGUCCGCCCCCGAGCGGAAAGCCUGAAGCCGACGCGACUGACCCCACUUGAACCUCACGGUUCAAGAACAAAGGUUAGCGACGGCACAGACGGGGGGUGU